RNAcentral lists this ribosomal RNA (115 nucleotides) under Amphilophus citrinellus (Midas cichlid). The record is from RNAcentral. Lineage: Eukaryota; Metazoa; Chordata; Actinopteri; Cichliformes; Cichlidae.
AGGUGCCAGUAAACAGCCUGAGCACUCCUGAUGUCCUCUGAGCUCAGAAGCUAGGCAGGGUCAGGCCUGGAUUGUACUGCAUGAGAGACCAUCAGGGAAUACCGAUUGCCAUUUG